This 71-nucleotide transfer RNA is filed under the name Marmota monax (woodchuck). RNAcentral's name for it is "tRNA.Ala". The record is from RNAcentral. Lineage: Eukaryota; Metazoa; Chordata; Mammalia; Rodentia; Sciuridae.
GGGGUUGUAGCUCAGUGGUAAAGUACUUGCCUAGCCUGUGUGAAGCGCUGGGUUCAAUCCUCAGCACCCCA